RNAcentral lists this ribosomal RNA (253 nucleotides) under uncultured bacterium. RNAcentral describes it as "partial 16S ribosomal RNA". It matches the Rfam family "Bacterial small subunit ribosomal RNA", at positions 524 to 776 of the family's 1533-position model. The record is from RNAcentral.
UACGUAGGGUGCGAGCGUUAAUCGGAAUUACUGGGCGUAAAGCGUGCGCAGGCGGUGAUGUAAGACAGAUGUGAAAUCCCCGGGCUCAACCUGGGACCUGCAUUUGUGACUGCAUCGCUAGAGUACGGUAGAGGGGGAUGGAAUUUCCUGUGUAGCGGUGAAAUGCGUAGAUAUAGGAAGGAACACCAGUGGCGAAGGCGGCUCACUGGUCCAUUACUGACGCUGAGGUGCGAAAGCGUGGGGAGCAAACAGG